GACGAACGCUGGCGGCGUGCUUAACACAUGCAAGUCGAACGGAAAGGCCCUGCUUUUGUGGGGUGCUCGAGUGGCGAAGGGGUGAGUAACACGUGAGUAACCUGUCCCUGACUUUGGGAUAUCUUCAGGAAACUGGGGCUCUUACCGGAUAGGAUCUCUUGCUGCUUGGUGGGGGUUGGAAAGUUUCGGUGGUUGGGGAUGGACUAGCGGCUUAUGGGCUUGUUGGGGGGGUAGUGGCUUACCAAGGCUUUGAAGGGUAGCCGACCUGGGAGGCGAACCGGCGCCAUGACGACUGGGAUACGGCCCAGACGCGAAUGGGAGGCAACGGUGGAGAAUAUUACACAGUAGGCGGGAGCCUGAUAUGACAACGCCGCGUGCGGGAAGACGUGCUUGGGGUUGUGAACCAAUGUCGCCUGAGACGAGACGUUAGUGACGGUAACGGGUGAAGAAGCACCGGCUAACUACGUG
This 468-nucleotide ribosomal RNA is filed under the name uncultured bacterium. RNAcentral describes it as "partial 16S ribosomal RNA". It matches the Rfam family "Bacterial small subunit ribosomal RNA", at positions 28 to 507 of the family's 1533-position model. The record is from RNAcentral.